UACAAAGCCUGUGCCGCACAGGAAACGAAGUCAAAGGCUCCCUUUGUCCCCACCCCCUCCCCCCCAAGAGGAGAAAAUCAGCCCCAGCGAGGAUUUUGGAGCUGGACGGGCUGGCGCGAUCCUGGAGAAUCACCCCCGAAGCCUGCGCUCUCCCAGGGAACGCUUUGCCAGGCUCUGAAGAAGCUACGCAGGCUCGGGAGGAAAAGCAGCAGCGGAAAAGCUGUAUGGAGGAAGCAGCCUCUGUAUGUUCCAGCUGAGAGAAUGCCCACACGGCCGAGACAGCAAGAGCAAUGGAGUAAUGGUCUAGGAAACAGCUGAAGUGAGCCAACCCGGGGUUGCUAUCUGCCUGCAAAGCAGCGAUAAAAGGAGCGCAAGGCCGUCUGGUUCAAUUUUUGGAGGAUCCACAGCUAUAGGGCCCAGACGUAAGCUGAAUGUGCUUCUGAGGUUGCAAAAAUUGGCUGUUUCUUUGACCAUAUUAUUCACCUGCCUAACUUACUGCUAGAAAACUGCUAAGGAAGACAUUCAGAAUUGGAAAAGGAGAAAAAGAUCUUAAGCAGCAUUGAGAGAUAUUUUAGUGGUUAAGAGGAUGACCUAGGAGUUCCCGUCGUGGCGCAGUGGUUAAUGAAUCUGACUAGUAAACCAUGAGGUUGCCGGUUCGAUCCCCGGCCUUGCUCAGUGGGCUAAGGAUCUGGCGUUGCCAUGAGCUGUGGUGUAGGUUACAGACGCACUAGGAUCCCGCAUUGCUGUGGCUACAGCUCCAAUUCGACCCCUAGCGUGGGAACUUCCAUAUGCCGUGGGAGCGGUCCAAGAAAUGGCAAAAAGACAAAGAAAAAAAAAGAGGAUGGCCUUCAUGGUUUCGACAUGGACUUAUUCUCAUGACGGUGCUGAAAGUUAGGACACAAAUGCCGUGGGGUGUGGUCCUUGCCUGCCCUGACGUAGCUUCACAAUCCUGUUGGGGGCAACAAAGCUAACACAGGCAUUUAAAACAGUGGCAAGACGGAGUUCCUGCUGGGGCGCAUCAGGAUCAGCGGCCUCUUUGGAGUCCUGGGACACAGGUUCGAUCCCUGGCCUGACACAGUAGGUUAAGGAUCCAGUGUUGCCACAGCCUCCUGGUGUAGGUUACAACUGUGUCUCAGAUCUGAUCCCUGUCCCAGGAACUCUAUAUGCCAUGGAGCUGCAAAAAAUAAAUGAAUAUGUAAAUAAAUGAAACAGUUCCAAGAGGCCAGGCCAGGCUGUGGAGGAGAGGGUGGAGAAGGCACAGGACAUAGUCCCUUCCCUCCCCGGCCCUAGGGAGUGCCGGGCCCGGGCGUGUCAUUGCUCUGGCCUGGAGUCCUCCUGUGUAUUAAAGGAGUCAAAUGCAAUAAUCUCCUCAAGUUCCUUAGAGCCUUGAUCUUCAGAAUCUAAUUACCACCACCAGUCAGUCUAGUGUAUAACCCAGCAGUAAAGGGAGGGAGGCAGACGGAGGAUGCUGUGAGACCCUGGGUUCGGGAAGGGCUUGUGUCUCCAUGAACUGGACGGCUGCAGGAGGAACCUCUGCAGAGCUGGGGCUCAGGCUGGACUUGGAAAAGCCGGCAGGAGACCUAGCGAUAAUCGCUAAUCCUGUGAUCGCAAGGUGUGUUUGGAGAACAGGGAGGAGGCCAAACGGUCCCAGCGGUCUGGGAGCGAGAGGGAAGCUGGAAAGUUGGGCUGGGGCCAGCUGGCGGGUGUAGAACUCUGGCCUAAGGAGCUAGAGGCUGAGCUUGUGGGUAAAAGGCGGCCAUGGCAGGGCUGAUGGAACAGAGGGCAGGCUGCUCUAGGUGUGUUUCUGGGACAGCGUGGAAGCAGCCCAGCCCUCAUUUUUGGCACAGGUCCUGUCCCCUCCUUGGCGUCAGAAGCUUCAACUCGCUGCUUUUCCCCACUUGGCGGUGCUCAGUCAACCACCGGCAGAGCACUGGGUCAGAAGACAGGGCAAAAGACAAGGAAGUGAUAAACGGGGACAGUGGUAAUUGCAUUAAAUUUUUUUUUAUUUUGCUAAAAUAUACAUAGCAUAACAUUUAAAUUGUAGCCACCUUUAGGGAUACAAUUUGCUGGUAAGUCCACUCACAUUGUUAUACCACGGUCACCACCAUCCCUUUCCAGAACUUUUUUUAUCAUCUCAAAUAGAAACUCUGUACCUGUUAAACAACAACUCCCCAUUCCUCCCUCCUCCCCUGCCCCUGGGAACCACAUUCUACUUGCUGUUUCUAUCAAUUUGCCUGUUUUAGGUACUGCAGAUGAGUAAAUUCAUACAAUGUUU
Molecule: long non-coding RNA, 2275 nt
Filed under: Sus scrofa (pig)
Lineage: Eukaryota; Metazoa; Chordata; Mammalia; Artiodactyla; Suidae
Description: lncRNA (ENSSSCG00000047706.1)
Source: RNAcentral